UGAGGAAUAUUGGACAAUGGAGGCAACUCUGAUCCAGCCAUGCCGCGUGAAGGACUAAGGCCCUAUGGGUCGUAAACUUCUUUUGACGCAGAGCAAUAAGGAUUACGUGUAGUCUGAUGAGAGUAUGCGUCGAAUAAGCAUCGGCUAACUCCGUGCCAGCAGCCGCGGUAAUACGGAGGAUGCAAGCGUUAUCCGGAUUUAUUGGGUUUAAAAGGUGCGUAGGCGGAUGGGUAAGUCAGCGGUGAAAUGUCCCGGCUCAACCGGGGAACUGCCAUUGAUACUGCCUGUCUUGAAUGCGGCCGAGGCCGGCGGAAUGUGGCGUGUAGCGGUGAAAUGCAUAGAUA
RNAcentral lists this ribosomal RNA (344 nucleotides) under uncultured bacterium. Its description in RNAcentral is "bacterial SSU rRNA". It matches the Rfam family "Bacterial small subunit ribosomal RNA", at positions 355 to 696 of the family's 1533-position model. The record is from RNAcentral.